This 9400-nucleotide long non-coding RNA is filed under the name Populus tremula. RNAcentral describes it as "long non-coding RNA (PTRE_LNC001475)". Lineage: Eukaryota; Viridiplantae; Streptophyta; Magnoliopsida; Malpighiales; Salicaceae. The record is from RNAcentral.
UUGGAGAUGGCAUACCGCCAAGUUUUGCAGCUCCGUCUCUUACAGCGGCGGCCGCCUUAUCUGCUCUUUUCUUCUCCACCUUAGCCAUCUUCUUCUUAAACUAAAUCUAAAGACACCCCCCGUCAUGCAAGUUACCUUUUCUUAUCCAGUAGCUCUAGAAUUGGGUGAGCCCUUUUGCAAUAAAAAGAUGUGGGGAUAUAGAAUAAUCGAUGUGAUUCAUUUAAUUUGUUUAUGACAGUGUACCGAUUACAUUUGUUCGUUGUAAUAAAGUUGUCUUUGCAUUGGAAGAUUCAUACACCGAUAAGGUAAGUAGGAGACAGCCUUGGUUGGACCAUCCUCGAUCCUGCCAGUCCUGUCACAUUUUAUGACCAGAAGUUAUGGAUAUAUAGCCUCCUUCACAUCAUAUGGAUCGCAAUAAGUGGUAGUUGAAGUAUAUAAUUUAGUAUGAUUAAUUCAUUUACACGAAAUAGGUUCAUGUAAAAAAUAGACAAAAUGUUUAAGCUGUUGCGUGUGUGUGCAAGUCUACUGCGACAGAUCAAAAAAAAUUGACAGAAGAGUCAUUCUUGAACAUUUCACAUCAGACAUCUGUUUCUUUUGAUGCCUAUGCGGAGAAAGCAGUCUUCCUAAAGUCUAAAAGAAAGCCCGGACUAGAUUCAUCUUUGUUAAUUUAGAAAUUAUUUAUUCAACUACGUUAAUUUGAGAAAUAUUUUCCCCACUGUUCUAAAAUGGGAAAAAACUCGGAAACCUCACCUUUCCAAAUUUUUUCCCACCUGAUGUUGUGCCUGGCCUGCAACCCCCAGAACCUGAGAGACUUCUACGCAUAGCUUUCAGAACUGGCGGUUCCAGUUUCUGAUGUUUGCCUCCAAAUUCUGACCGUCACCCUCUGAGGACCACUUAUCCGGACAGGACUCAGAGGGAUCCCUAUUGCUUGUACUGGGAAAAAAACAGAAUUCCUUGUUUCUACGUUGAGAAAAAUAACAAUAGCGUAGGCAUGAAACCCAUACUUAUUAACUGAAAUUCCAGCGCAGAUCAAGAGCCUCCUCGCUUGCAAUUUGAUUUUUCGCUCAGAUGCAAUUCAAAUUUCAUGCGCUCCAAAAUAUUAUUAUUAAACAUAACCUCAUGGAUUCACCCGUUAAUUUGAAGUCUCUGACUACGUAAGUUGAGAUGUAUUUUGAAUUGUUAUUGAUAUUGACCUGAUCAAACUUUUCAGUUGUAUUUUAAAUUAUUAUUUAUAUUGAUAUGAACAAACCCAUGUAAUUUAAUAGGUUAACUUAUGAUUUGGUUAACCCUUUUAAAUAUCAUCCAAGCUUAGUCUAAAUUUGACAAUGUCAAAACUAAUGAAUGUUUUUUUAAAAAAAAAUAUUGAAACAAUGUCGUUCUAAAAUAAAAUAAUAUAUUUGGAUUAACCUAUCAAUCUAGCAAUUAGAACCCGCAACCUGGUUGAUCCAACUAAACCCGAUCAAGUUGCGACAAAAAUGAAAAUAAUGAACGUAUUUUGUAUCCAAAGUCAGGGUAGAAAUCUCAAUAUGAAAUUGUGUCGAUAAGGAAUCAAGAGAUAAUAAGGAAUAAUGACUGAUUGGGCAAUCCCAAUUCAGUAUGUUAAAUGAAUUGAACAGGACAAGAAUAUAUUCUGUGAUAAUGAAGGUCAAAUAUCAUGGAAAGAUCAAAGAUCAUUACAUUACAAGAGCAAAGAUCAUUACAUUACACUUUAUACUAAAAAGCAUAAGUCUUUCAUUAUGUAAAUUCACAAUGCAAGACUGAUUUUACCCCUUGGUGGGCAAAGUAGCAUGCCUCGGGUUUAGGGGUAUCGUGGUAUUUUUCAUGAAACACAUUGGCCAUUAAUUGAAAAGGAAGGGGUUAGACAAUAUUUUUAUACUUUCUUUGCACAAUGUGAUUACUUAAUUGCCCUUAAAAAACAAAAAAAAUAAUUCAGUUGGGUUGAGUGGUUUUUUAGUUUUUGACUUUAUUUUUAAACAAGUUACUUCAUUACCCUUGAAAAUUAAAAACAAUUAUCUUUGGCUUAGGGGUUUUUUUUGUCAUUAACAUGUGGUCAUUUAUUAGUUAUUGGAUGUUCUUAGUAAGGUAAUUUGAUAAAUAAGAUCAUUAAAAAAAGAAUAAGAAUCUGGUUAGCAGUGUCAGUCACCUUCUAACAGUGUGUGUGACGUCGUCCGGUGAUCAAAACCAUGAUUAUAAGGUGACUUUUAAAGUGUCUCAGCUUCCCCUCCACAGAUCAGCGGUGGAUGUAGCACUAUUGUGAUCAUGUGGCAUAAAUAUCCUUUUAAUUUUUUCCUCUCUUAUACUCGAUUUUUUUCAAUAUUCUCUUUAUUAUAAUUUUAAAAAUUUAGAAUACUUUAUUAAAUGAAUGAUUUUUUAUUUAUUUAAUCCCUGUUCUUUUUGUUGUAAUUUUUUUUAUUGAGAAUAGUUUAUUAAAUUAAUAAUUGUUUUCAAUUUCAUCCCUAAUCAAUAUUUUUAUCUAACAAAUUUAGUUUUCAUUCUUUUAAUUACUAUUUUUUUAAUUUUAUAUGGUUUUUUAAAUUAUUUUUUUCUAGUUUCUUCUUUCUUUAGCUUUUUUACCUAUCAAAUAUAAUAUUUUAUUAUUAUUGUGUUUUUUUGACCUUGCGAGAAUUUUUUAGAUUGAUUUUUUUUAUUAUUAUUAUUUCAUCCUCCGACAUUUUAUUAUUAUUAUUUCAUCCUCCGACAUUUAAUUAGACGGGUGUUUAACUUCUUGGUUGAGUCCGGAUCUAAAUUUAACAGUUUGUGAGUUUAAUAAAUUAACCUCGGUUUCUAAGUUGACACGGGUUUCUUUGGUUGUUUUUUUCCUCUUUUUUUAGCUUAUUUUUCUCAUCCUCUAGCAUUUUGUUAUUUUUAACUCACUUUCUAUUGUAUUUUUAAGUCGUUUCGAAAAUAACAUGGGUUGUCUUGUUUUUUUUUCUUUGUUGAAUUUAGUUUUUAUAAAGGAAUUUUGUUUUUAAAUUGAUUGAUUUCAUCCUCCAACAUUUAAUUUUUUAGGUGUUGAGCUCUUGGGUUGAGACCUAGUCAGAAUUUAACGAAUUGCGGAUUUGAGAGUUUAGCCUGAGUUCACAAGAUUUACUCCGGCUUACUUGGUUUUUUUUCCUUUUUUAAGCUUUUUUGUUUAAUAUUUCAUUCUCUAACAUUCCUUUCUAACUUUAUUUCUAUAGGAUUUAUCUUUUCUUUUAAAAUAACUCGAGUUUACAAAGUUUACUCGAGCUUGUUUGAUUUUUUUUAAGUUUUUUUUUAUAUUACAUUCUUUAACAUUCUCUUUUUAUUUUUUUUCUAUAGGAUUUAUCUUUCCUUUUAAAAUAACAACGUCAACAUUGGGUUUUUAUUUUAUUUUAUCUUUGUUAAUAUUUUCUUCUUUAAAAGAAAUUUUGUUUUUUUAAUUAAAUUAAAUUUAUUUAUUUUAUCCUAUCAUUUAAUUUGAGGCAAUACCUGAAUGAUUUUUUUUAAUUGAUUUUUUUAAAAAUUGAUAUUCUUUGUUUUUUAGCGUUUCUUUCUAUAAAGUUAAUAUGAUAUAAUGUCUAGAAUCAUAAAUUCAACAGGUUUAUCAAGUUUGAUUAGGUCUUUAUUUUACUGUUUUUUAAUUUUUUUUUCAUAACGAAUCAAUGACCAAAAUUUUUGAUUUUUAUAAAAAAAUAAAUUUGCAUUAUCUUAAUCUUUUCUACAAUUAAAAAAUAUAAUAGUUCUACAACAAAUCACGUGCACGUAUCUAGUAACAAUAUCAAAACGAUUGAGGUGGUCAAACAGACAAACUCCGAAAAAGGGCGAUGGGCUCAACGUGGGGGUUUUUUUUUAUCUAUCUGAUCCAUACCAACAAAGCACUCAAAGAAGAAUGGCGAAUCAAUGAGGAGACGUAAUUUUGUCAUGUAAAAUGUAAAGACGAAGCAUUCUUUACAAAGUGUUUGUUUCUAUAUAUUUUAACAAUAUUUGCCUAAUUCGCAUGCCGUCAAAAACUGGGCCGGCAGGAUAAAUUAAGGACUGAAUCCUGGUUUCAUCUUCCACGAUGACGUUCUAGAAUUUCAGUCAAACACUUAAUCAGAUACCUUUCGCAAACAUCUCAUCGUGCAUAUAACUGUUUAUAACUCCCUCAUGCUUAGAUAUCCUCUCUCCCUCUCUAUAAAUAGUUGCAUUCCUAUCCUUGGAGGAUCAUCAUCUGUCUUUGCUGAAGACAUUUUUGAAAGAAUAUAUAUAUUCUCCCCCUCGUUAUUUCCGAAAUCAAAGAAUCCUUAAAGAGAUUGUGCUCCUAAAACGUUGAUUGUCAGAGGCAAGAAAAUGGCUAGCCGGUUGUGUUUCAAUAUUGGGUUCUUGAUUGUUGCAUCGGUGGGUUUGCUUCACGGUGCAUAUGCAGCUAAUACUUACACAGUUGGAGGUGGUUUGGGAUGGAUUGUUCCUCCGAACAGCACUUACUAUGAGGAAUGGGCCAGCCAGAGGACAUUUCAGAUAGGAGACUCCCUCUGUAAGCAUUUCUUGAUCUCUUUAUGAGCUUAUUAACUAAUUACGACUCUAUUUAUUGCGUGCAUGCAUGAUAUGAUACUGAUGUUGGUCCAUAUAUAUCUCGGGUAUGCCUAGUCCUAUACAUCAGGUUUGGUUCUUAAACCUGAGUUAACAUAUAGGUAUAGGUUUGGUGGAUUUGUAAUGAGGAACAACCACCUUCUACACAUAUUUUUCAAGUCGAGUCCCUUACGCACAAUUCGUUGUCCAAAUUAAGGACUCAAAAACAAGCAUGCAUGCAUGGUUUUUCCUCAAAUUAUUCCUACUCCUUUCCCGAUCAAUCAAUGAGACGUGUUUUCCUUUUCAUUUCUUUCAGUUUUCAACUCGACAACCGGAACACAUACCGCAACUCAAGUGAGUACCAAGGAGGAGUAUGAUAAUUGCACAAAGACGGGAUUGGUACUAAAGGUAGGUUUUGGAGUUCAAGUCACUUUCAAUGAAAAUGGUACGCACUACUUCCUCUGCUCUGAAGGGACACACUGUGAGCAAGGCCAGAAGAUGAUAAUCAAGAUUGGAGAUGGCAUAGCGCCAAGUUUUGCAGCUCCGUCUCUUACCGCGGCCGCCGCCUUAUCUGCUCUUUUCUUCUCCACCUUAGCCAUCUUCUUCUUAAACUAAAUCUAAAGACACCCCCCGUCAUGCAAGUUACCUUUUCUUAUCCAGUAGCUCUAGAAUUGGGUGAGCCCUUUGGCAAUAAAAAGAUGUGGGGAUAUAGAAUAAUCGAUGUGAUUCAUUUAAUUUGUUUAUGACAGUGUACCGAUUACAUUUGUUCGUUGUAAUAAAGGUGUCUUUGCAUUGGAAGAUUCAUACACCGAUAAGGUCAGUAGGAGACAGCCUUGGUUGGACCAUCCUCCCGCCAGUCCUGUCACAUUUUAUGACCAGAAGUUAUGGAUAGCCUCCUUGACAUCAUAUGGAUCGCAAUAAGUGGUAGUUGAAUUAUAUAAUUUGGUAUGAUUAAUUCAUUUACACGAAAUAGGUUCAUGUAAAAAAUAGAAAAAAGUUACAAAAUGUUUAAGCUGUUGCGUGUGUGUGUGCAAGUCUACUGCGACAGAACAAAAAAAUUGACAGAAGGGUCAUUCUUGAACAUUUCACAUCAGACAUCUGUUUCUUUAGCUGGACUGUCAAAUGUUAUGCAUGCUUUUGAUGCCUGUGCGGAGAGAGCAAUCUUCCUAAAGUCUAAAGGAAAGCCCGGACUAGCACAAGAUCUCCCACGCUAGAUUCAUCUCUGUUAAUUUAGAAAUUAUUUAUUCAACUAUGUUAAUUUGAGAAAUAUUUUCCCCACUGUUCUAAAAUUGGAAAGGUGAGGUUUCCAAUUUUUUUCCCACCUGAUGUUGUGCCUGGCCUGCAACCCCCAUAACCUGAGACUUCUACGCAUAGCUUUCAGAGCUGACGGAGAGAUCUGAUGAAGGUUCCAGUUUAAUGGUUUAAGCAUCAAAUUUCUGGUUCAACCACUGGGUCAAUUACUAAAGGAAUCCGAAGAUCUCAAUUACCUGUAAGAAUAGUCAUGCAUAAGCAGCUAUACGAAUAAGAACUGUUAAUAUCCAGCACCAGGGGCCGAAGUUAUUACCACCACCAUCGUUGUUGCUGCUGGUCUUAUUUAUAUCUGUUCUUUCUUGUUGUAAUAAAUGUUUGAGAGAAAUCAUUAUAUUAAUUAACAAGAAAUUAAGAUGUGAUUGUGUUAGAAAAAUAAUUAUUCAUAUUGAACAUGCCUUUUGUAACGUGAAGAUUUGUUGUCUUUAAAGUUAAACAUUUCCACAACUAAUCCGAAUAUAUCAAGGAUCGGUCUGAUAUAACAGUACAGGAGAUUCCACUUUAAAAAAAAAAAAAAGUCUUAUUUAUGAUUUUCAUUUGACCCUUUGACUGAAAUAUCAUUUAUUUUUAAGAAGAUAAUUUAAUAAACCCAUGAAAAAUCAUGAAUUAGAUCUCAGAAUCGUGAAAAAAUAUCACUUUUGGACACAAAUCCGAUUGAGAAACACGCCCGGAAUACCAAACCGGGUGUUCGAAGUUAAAACAACAUGUUCGUGUUUUGAAAUGAAAAUUUACUUCCAUUUCUUUACACAAUGGUCCCUCAAAUUUUAAGCUCUUUUCUCUUCAAACUUUAACUCUUUCAAUAUUAUAAUAUAAUUCUUAAAUUCAACUUUUAAUCAUAUGAAUUCAACACGAACAUUAAGAUGAGGUGAUAUUGCACCUAUCCUUUAUGUUACUGAGUUUGAUUGUUGCUUAUUAGCUGGCUAGUCUCAAAGCAGUUUUCAUUGUAUGAGGUGAUAUAUAUUGCAAGGUAGUGUGGUCAUUCAUUUUGUGAUGCUAUAUUAAUAUUAAUAGAAAUAUUUGUUAUCAACAUCCUUCUUAAUCUAGCUUUUCAUAUUAGAGUUUUGUCUCACAAUUGUUUUUAAUUAAUUAGAAAGCUCAAUGUACCUUAACUUAUUAUAAUGAGGAUAUUGAUCUUUUAUUAUAUUAAAUUAAGGAAAUUAUAGAUACUUUAGGAUAUGUAGGCUAUUAUAGAUACAAAUAGUAUAUUGUUGGAGGCCCUAAUGAAAAUUGGUUUGCUAUAUAUUUGUUUAAAUGAAAAAAAUAAUCAAAAGGACCCAAUUUUGUUUCAUUUAAAAAUAAAUUAAAACAAAAACAAAAGGAUACAGUUAUCGAAGGCAUGAACCCAGCAUUACAGCCAAGCUAUAACAAUAAUAAUAAUAAAAAAAAAACAUUCUAGCCUUAUGAACUGAAAAUAUUGCCUACAAACAAAGAAUCCGAUCACUUACAACUUGCAGUUAGGUUCUUAUUUUAUGAACACUUAAUUAAUAAUACACUUUUUUGUAUAUCUCCACCGUAAAACAUUAAUGAUUUCUCUAUUUUUAUGUGUUUUAUAUUUUUAUUUUUUACUUUUUUUCUAUGAGAUUUAUCUUUCGUUUUAAAAUAACAAGGGUUGUCUUGGUUUUUUAUCUUUGUUAAAUUUUGCUUCUUUAAUAGAAAAUUUAUUUUUUAAUAAAAUAAAAUUUAUUUUAUUUUUUUUAACAUCUAUCAUUUAAUUUCUUCAAUUUUCUUCGUCUUUAAAUUUUGCCUCUUCGAAUUGUCCAUAGAUGUUUUUCGCAGACAUGAAAAUUCCGAAUGAAUCCAAAUCUGAAGAACUUUCACCGCUAAGAUGCUAUGUUUGAAAAAAAUAUAUAUAUAUAUUUGCAUCAAAGGACCACAAAAUAGGUUGUCCUAUUGGAGUCUUUCCAUUUGCAAUUUUGUGGCCAGAGAAGUAGCUACGGCCUGAGUUCACUGAUGAUAACAUUAUGGUAGCAUAUAGUACCAGGUUGAUAUUUAUAGAAAAGGCCAAAGGCACAAUAUUCUUUUUUUCAUCUCGAAUCAAUGGUCAAAAUUUAGAUUUUUUAAAAAAUAAAUCUGUAUUAUCUUAAUCUUUUCUACAAUUAAAAAAAUAUAAUAGGUCUCUAAGAAAGCACGUGGCACGUAUCCAGUAACAAUAUCAAAACAAUUGAGGUGGUGAAACAGACAAACUCCAAAAAGGAAGAUGGGCUCAACGUGAGACGGCGUUCUAUAUCAUCACUGUCAUACACACUCUAAGGACUGAAUCCUGGUUUCAUCUUCCAUGGUGACGUUCUCGAAUUGCAGUCAAACACUCAAUUAGUUACCUUUCGCAAACAUCUCAUCGUGCACAUAACUGUUUAUAACUCCCUCACGCUUAGAUAUCCUCUCUCCCUCUCUAUAAAUAGUUGCAUUCCUAUCCUGGGAGGAUCAUCGUCUGUCUUUGCUGAAGACAUUUUUGAAAGAAUAUAGAAUGUAUAUUCUCCCCCUCGUUAUUUCCGAAAUCAAAGAAUCCUUAAAGAGAUUGUGCUCCUAAAACGUUGAUUGUCAGAGGCAAGAAAAUGGCUAGCCGGUUGUGUUUCAACAUUGGGUUCUUGAUUGUUGCAUCGGUGGGUUUGCUUCACGGUGCCUAUGCAGCUAAUGAUUACAUAGUUGGAGAUGAUUUGGGAUGGAUUGUUCCUCCGAACAAGACUUACUAUGAGGAAUGGGCCAGCCAGAGGACAUUUCAGAUAGGAGACACCAUCUGUAAGCAUUUCUUGAUCUCUUUAUGAGCUUAUUAUAUAACUAAUUACGACUCUAUUUAUUGCGUGCAUGCAUGAUAUGAUACUGAUGUUGGUCCAUAUAUAUCUCGGGUAUGCCUAGUCCUAUAUAUCAAGAGGUAUCGUGCCACUUUGGAUCUUAAACCUGAGUUAACAUAUAGGUAUAGGUUUGGUGGGUUUUGUCAUGAGGAACAACCACCUUCCACACAUAUUUUUCAAGUCGAGUCCCUUACGCACAAUUCGUUGUCCAAAUUAAGGACUCAAAAACAAGCAUGCAUGCAUGGUUUUUCCUCAAAUUAUUCCUACUCCUUGCCCGAUCAAUCAAUGAGACGUGUUUUCCUUUUCAUUUCUUUCAGUUUUCAACUCGCCAACCGGAACACAUUUCGCAACUGAAGUAAACUCCAAGGAGGAGUAUGAUAAUUGCACAAAGGCGUUAGGGGCAAGGGCAGUUUUUGGAUUUCAUGUCCCUUUAAAAUAUAAUGCCACGCGCUACUUCCUCUGCUCUGAAGGAACACACUGUGAGCAAGGCCAGAAGGUUGUAAUCAAGAUUGGAGAUGGCGUCAUACCGAUACCGCCAAGUUUUGCAGCUCCAUCUCUUACCGAGGCCGCCGCCUUAUCUGCUCUUUUCUUCUCCACCUUAGCCAUCUUCUUCUUGAACUAAAUCUAAAGACACCCCCCGUCAUGCAAGUUACCUUUUCUUAUCCAGUAGCUCUAGAAUUGGGUGAGCCCUGGAUAGCUUGUUGGUAAUAAUCGAUGUGGGGAUAUGACAGUGUACCGAUUACAUCUGUUCGUUGUAAUAAAGCUGUCUUGCAAUGGAAGAUUCAUAAACCGAU